ACUCAAAUGAAUUGACGGGGGCCCGCACAAGCGGUGGAGCAUGUGGUUUAAUUCGAUGCAACGCGAAGAACCUUACCUGGUCUUGACAUCCACAGAACUUUCCAGAGAUGGAUUGGUGCCUUCGGGAACUGUGAGACAGGUGCUGCAUGGCUGUCGUCAGCUCGUGUUGUGAAAUGUUGGGUUAAGUCCCGCAACGAGCGCAACCCUUAUCCUUUGUUGCCAGCGGUCCGGCCGGGAACUCAAAGGAGACUGCCAGUGAUAAACUGGAGGAAGGUGGGGAUGACGUCAAGUCAUCAUGGCCCUUACGACCAGGGCUACACACGUGCUACAAUGGCGCAUACAAAGAGAAGCGACCUCGCGAGAGCAAGCGGACCUCA
RNAcentral lists this ribosomal RNA (377 nucleotides) under Salmonella enterica subsp. enterica. RNAcentral describes it as "bacterial SSU rRNA". It matches the Rfam family "Bacterial small subunit ribosomal RNA", at positions 899 to 1276 of the family's 1533-position model. Lineage: Bacteria; Pseudomonadati; Pseudomonadota; Gammaproteobacteria; Enterobacterales; Enterobacteriaceae. The record is from RNAcentral.